GACGAACGCUGGCGGCGUGCUUAACACAUGCAAGUCGAACGGAAAGGCCCUGCUUUUGUGGGGUGCUCGAGUGGCGAACGGGUGAGUAACACGUGAGUAACCUGCCCUUGACUCUGGGAUUACUUCAGGAAACUGGGGCUAAUAACGGAUAGGAGCUCCUGCUGCAUGGUGGGGGUUGGAAAGUUUCGGCGGUUGGGGAUGGACUCGCGGCUUAUCAGCUUGUUGGUGGGGUAGUGGCUUACCAAGGCUUUGACGGGUAGCCGGCCUGAGAGGGUGACCGGCCACAUUGGGACUGAGAUACGGCCCAGACUCCUACGGGAGGCAGCAGUGGGAAAUAUUGCACAAUGGGCGGAAGCCUGAUGCAGCAACGCCGCGUGCGGGAUGACGGCCUUCGGGUUGUAAACCGCUUUCGCCUGUGACGAAGCGUGAGUGACGGUGAUGGGUAAAGAAGCACCGGCUAACUACGUG
RNAcentral lists this ribosomal RNA (468 nucleotides) under uncultured bacterium. Its description in RNAcentral is "partial 16S ribosomal RNA". It matches the Rfam family "Bacterial small subunit ribosomal RNA", at positions 28 to 507 of the family's 1533-position model. The record is from RNAcentral.